Molecule: transfer RNA, 73 nt
Filed under: Cordylochernes scorpioides
Lineage: Eukaryota; Metazoa; Arthropoda; Arachnida; Pseudoscorpiones; Chernetidae
Description: tRNA-Val
Source: RNAcentral
UGGUUCCGCCCGGGAUCGAACCGGGGACCUUUCGCGUGUAAAGCGAACGUGAUAACCACUACACCACGAAACC